Molecule: long non-coding RNA, 336 nt
Filed under: Androctonus crassicauda
Lineage: Eukaryota; Metazoa; Arthropoda; Arachnida; Scorpiones; Buthidae
Source: RNAcentral
UAUACUUAUCUUCCUACUAGCUUCUAUCACAUCUUUGUCAUUACAGAGUAAUGCAAAUAGGGUAUGUCCUCUCUUUCUUGCCAUUCUUUUGUUCCCACCUUUUAUGGCUCUGCUAAGGACCUUAGCAGUACAUUGGUGAUGUGUAGUUUGGGAGGGUGGGGCGCUUUCAGCCUGUUGGUGUCGGGCCUUUUGGGUGUAGUCACUUCCAUGGCUCUUCUAAUCUUCCUCAUAGCUCCUUCUAUGACUGCUUUCUUAUACCCAUGUUUGGGUCCUUGUGUGCAUAUGUAUGUCGGUUCCUCUUCUCUGUCUCGCCGUCUAGUGAUGUGGAUGUGUGCU